Molecule: ribosomal RNA, 1090 nt
Filed under: Priestia megaterium
Lineage: Bacteria; Bacillati; Bacillota; Bacilli; Caryophanales; Bacillaceae
Description: bacterial SSU rRNA
Rfam family: Bacterial small subunit ribosomal RNA
Source: RNAcentral
AGCAGUCGAGCGAAGCGUGAUCUCAGUAGCUUGCUUCUAUGACGUUAGCGGCGGACGGGUGAGUAACACGUGGGCAACCUGCCUGUAAGACUGGGAUAACUUCGGGAAACCGAAGCUAAUACCGGAUAGGAUCUUCUCCUUCAUGGGAGAUGAUUGAAAGAUGGUUUCGGCUAUCACUUACAGAUGGGCCCGCGGUGCAUUAGCUAGUUGGUGAGGUAACGGCUCACCAAGGCAACGAUGCAUAGCCGACCUGAGAGGGUGAUCGGCCACACUGGGACUGAGACACGGCCCAGACUCCUACGGGAGGCAGCAGUAGGGAAUCUUCCGCAAUGGACGAAAGUCUGACGGAGCAACGCCGCGUGAGUGAUGAAGGCUUUCGGGUCGUAAAACUCUGUUGUUAGGGAAGAACAAGUACGAGAGUAACUGCUCGUACCUUGACGGUACCUAACCAGAAAGCCACGGCUAACUACGUGCCAGCAGCCGCGGUAAUACGUAGGUGGCAAGCGUUAUCCGGAAUUAUUGGGCGUAAAGCGCGCGCAGGCGGUUUCUUAAGUCUGAUGUGAAAGCCCACGGCUCAACCGUGGAGGGUCAUUGGAAACUGGGGAACUUGAGUGCAGAAGAGAAAAGCGGAAUUCCACGUGUAGCGGUGAAAUGCGUAGAGAUGUGGAGGAACACCAGUGGCGAAGGCGGCUUUUUGGUCUGUAACUGACGCUGAGGCGCGAAAGCGUGGGGAGCAAACAGGAUUAGAUACCCUGGUAGUCCACGCCGUAAACGAUGAGUGCUAAGUGUUAGAGGGUUUCCGCCCUUUAGUGCUGCAGCUAACGCAUUAAGCACUCCGCCUGGGGGAGUACGGUCGCAAGACUGAAACUCAAAGGAAUUGACGGGGGGCCCGCACAAGCGGUGGAAGCAUGUGGGUUUAAUUCGAAAGCAACGCGGAAAAACCUUUACCAGGGUCUUGGACAUCCUUCUGGACAACUUCUAGAAGAUAGAAGCGUUUCCCCUUUCGGGGGGACAGAAGUGAACAGGUGGGUGCCAUGGGUUGUCCGUCCGCCUCCGUGGUCGUGGAGAAUGUUUGGGGUUUAAGGUCCCC